CAAGGAACCCUCAGUAGGCCACUGAGGGCUCUGAAGAAGAGAUCUCCUGAUGGUGAGGACCGCAAUCUCUCGUCGAGAGUGACUGCAUGGUCUGGUUGUUGGAAAACAGACAGUUCAAAGUAUGUAUAUUUUAAACUUUUUUAUAGCGAAAGUAGUAGAUUAAACUAUUUAAUCUCUUACAUAUACUUUAAAUCAAAUAUAAACUACCUUUCUAAUGAUCUAUAACAU
This 228-nucleotide long non-coding RNA is filed under the name Elaeis guineensis (African oil palm). Its description in RNAcentral is "long non-coding RNA (EGUI_LNC038628)". Lineage: Eukaryota; Viridiplantae; Streptophyta; Magnoliopsida; Arecales; Arecaceae. The record is from RNAcentral.